Molecule: ribosomal RNA, 860 nt
Filed under: uncultured Verrucomicrobiota bacterium
Lineage: Bacteria; Pseudomonadati; Verrucomicrobiota
Description: bacterial SSU rRNA
Rfam family: Bacterial small subunit ribosomal RNA
Source: RNAcentral
CCGCGGGAUUAGAGUUUGAUCCUGGCUCAGAACGAACGCUGGCGGCGUGGAUAAGACAUGCAAGUCGGGCGAGAUUUUUUUCUGUAGCAAUACAGGGAAACGUUUAGCGGCGAACGGGUGCUUAACACGUGGGCAACCUGCCGAGAAGUGGGGGAUAGCUCGCCGAAAGGCGAAUUAAUACCGCAUGUGAUUAGAGUGGACAUCCAUUCAAAAUCAAAGUCGGGGCAACCUGACGCUUCUUGAGGGGCCCGCGGCCUAUCAGCUAGUUGGUGAGGUAACGGCUCACCAAGGCUUUGACGGGUAGCUGGUCUGAGAGGACGACCAGCCACACUGGGACUGAGACACGGCCCAGACACCUACGGGUGGCAGCAGUCGAGAAUUUUUCUCAAUGGGGGAAACCCUGAAGGAGCGACGCCGCGUGGAGGAUGAAGGUCUUCGGAUUGUAAACUCCUGUCAUUGGGGAACAAUGCGUAAAUAUUAACUGUAUUUACGUUGAUAGUACCCGAAGAGGAAGGGACGGCUAACUCUGUGCCAGCAGCCGCGGUAAUACAGAGGUCCCAAGCGUUGUUCGGAUUCAUUGGGCGUAAAGGGUGCGUAGGCGGCGCGGUAAGUCGGGUGUGAAAUCUCGGAGCUUAACUCCGAAACUGCAUUCGAUACUGCCGUGCUUGAGGACUGGAGAGGAGACUGGAAUUUACGGUGUAGCGGUGAAAUGCGUAGAUAUCGUAAGGAAGACCAGUGGCGAAGGCGGGUCUCUGGACAGUUCCUGACGCUGAGGCACGAAGGCCAGGGGAGCAAACGGGAUUAGAUACCCCGGUAGUCCUGGCAGUAAACGGUGCACGUUUGGUGUGGGAGGAUUCGAC